RNAcentral lists this ribosomal RNA (254 nucleotides) under uncultured bacterium. RNAcentral describes it as "partial 16S ribosomal RNA". It matches the Rfam family "Bacterial small subunit ribosomal RNA", at positions 524 to 776 of the family's 1533-position model. The record is from RNAcentral.
UACGUAGGGGGCGAGCGUUGUCCGGAUUUAUUGGGCGUAAAGAGCUCGUAGGCGGUUGGGUAAGUCGGGUGUGAAAACUCAGGGCUCAACUCUGAGACGCCACUCGAUACUGCCCUGACUCGAGUCCGGUAGGGGAGCGUGGAAUUCCCGGUGUAGCGGUGAAAUGCGCAGAUAUCAGGAAGAACACCGAUGGCGAAGGCAGCUCUCUGGGACGGUACUGACGCUGAGACGCGAAAGCGUGGGGAGCGAACAGG